This 1775-nucleotide long non-coding RNA is filed under the name Homo sapiens (human). RNAcentral describes it as "HSALNT0287432". Lineage: Eukaryota; Metazoa; Chordata; Mammalia; Primates; Hominidae. The record is from RNAcentral.
AAAUUAUUGUGUGCCACAGAGAUAACAAAUUUCCUUGUUAAUUGUGUCUUUGACUAUGGCUUCCCUAAAACUUUUUGUCAUCCAAGGACAAUUGUUGUCUUGUUUCAGUCCUCUUUAGAAGGUGGUUUUAUAAUCAGCUAUAAAAUUCUAACAGGUGUUCUUGAAUGCACGCUUCUGUUAACUUUGGAGAUUGUGACGUCAAACUAGAGGAAAAACUUUCAGGACUGAUGGAGAGUGGAAAAGUUUAUGAAUAUCAAGCAGAAUAGGAAUUAACUGCAUGUACUGAACUAAUAGAACUGUGUUUUAUCUUUUUGCUUAAAACGUUGCUGAUCCUUUGUUUUGUUUUUCAGAGUCAAGAAACUUUCCUUUUAAGCUACUUACAGCUUUUAACAGUUGAGUAAAGUAUACUCCUAUGAACAAAAUUUGGAACAUAUUUGUUUCUGUCUGCCUGAUUUCUACAGAAUUUGGAAACUAUUUGUGAGGAUUUAUAACUUAUGACAAUAUAGUUAUUUGCAAAAGUGCAAUAAGAAUCUGUUUUCAUUUGUAACAGGGCACAAUUGGAGAAACUGGUUAUUUUACCAAUGCUUUGACUGAAAUGGGGUGCUUUCCUUUAAGAAAUCUAACUUGAUUUAUGGAGCCAAUAAAAUCCCCUUGGAAAAACUGGCCUCAUACCUUUGUCUACACAGUCCUUGUACAGGUUUUCUGACGUAUGGUAAGUAAAGAAGAUCACUUUCUGACAGGCCCAGAAGCCCCAAGUUUAUCUUGGAACCUCAAGAGGAGAGGAAUUCAUUAAACUCAUGGGUAUUUCAUGGUAUAAAUUCAUGGCUGGGUAUGGAUUUAAAAAGGUCUUAUCUGAGAUUCCUUCUGUGGAACAAAGUUCAAUCAAAGCCAAUUUAAAAGCCUAUGUAAAAAAUAACUAUUCCUGCUGCACUGUGUACAAAUAAUUAGGCCAAGUAUAAUAAAGCAAACCAGUCCUACCAUGAUUUGUCUUUAGUAAAAACGGGAAACUGGAGAAAGAAAAAUUAUGUUUCAAAAACUAUAGUACACCUGUUGUUAGAUUCUAGUCUUGUCUGAUGUUUUUUGAUUUUUAUUAUUUCCUACAGUUUGGAUCAAACUCUAAUUUUUCUUGGCUAUGAGUCUUCAAAAUAAUGUUUUCAAUUUUUUCUUUCUUUUUUCCCCAUUUUUCCUAAUUUGGAGUAACUGGAAACUAAGCUGGGCAUUCUUAAAGCCCUGUGAACUGAAGCCAGACAACUUAAACUUUAGUAGAAAAUAACAGCAACCCAUUUACAUAGACAAGCCACUUUCAUACUGGCCUACUGAUGUAUGGACCUCAGAAGAAUGUGGCCUAUAUUGAUUUUCCAGGAUUGUUCUUUUUUUGCUGUUGUUUUUCUCACUUCUUCCCCCUAUUUUCUCUUCAUAGGACAUGAGACUUCACAACCUUCUAAAAAUGAGUGUUACUAAUAACUCAGGACCUACCUGUUUUGGGUGGAGAGGAGACCCAAGGGGAAGGGUGGAAGGGUACCUGCAGGAGGUAGGGUACAGAGAAGAAGUUUAUAGAGUGAACAAAUUACUGCAAUUUGGCCCAAAAAGCAUUAGUCUAGGCCCUGUUCUGCCACCAACUUGCUGUGUGAUUGAGCUCAGGCCAACCCUUUUCCCUGUUAUGCACUGAGAAGCCUCCUCAGCUUUUACCAUCCGUGGUUUAAGAAUUCUUGCCCAAGUCAAAGCAGUAACAUCUGGCAAGGUUCAAGGCAAGCAAAGAACAGACAGCCAAGAAG